Molecule: ribosomal RNA, 452 nt
Filed under: uncultured Alcaligenaceae bacterium
Lineage: Bacteria; Pseudomonadati; Pseudomonadota; Betaproteobacteria; Burkholderiales; Alcaligenaceae
Description: bacterial SSU rRNA
Rfam family: Bacterial small subunit ribosomal RNA
Source: RNAcentral
ACAAGCGGUGGAUGAUGUGGAUUAAUUCGAUGCAACGCGAAAACCUUACCUACCCUUGACAUGUUCGGAAUUCCGCAGAGAUGUGGAAGUGCUCGAAAGAGAACCGGAACACAGGUGCUGCAUGGCUGUCGUCAGCUCGUGUCGUGAGAUGUUGGGUUAAGUCCCGCAACGAGCGCAACCCUUGUCAUUAGUUGCUACGAAAGGGCACUCUAAUGAAACUGCCGGUGACAAACCGGAGGAAGGUGGGGAUGACGUCAAGUCCUCAUGGCCCUUAUGGGUAGGGCUUCACACGUCAUACAAUGGUCGGUACAGAGGGCUGCCGACCCGUAAGGGGGAGCCAAUCCUUUAAAACCGAUCGUAGUCCGGAUUGAGGUCUGCAACUCGACCUCAUGAAGUCGGAAUCGCUAGUAAUCGCGGAUCAGCAUGUCGCGGUGAAUACGUUCCCGGGUCUU